UGGGGAAUUUUGGACAAUGGGCGAAAGCCUGAUCCAGCAAUGCCGCGUGUGUGAAGAAGGCCUUCGGGUUGUAAAGCACUUUUGUCCGGAAAGAAAUCCUUGGCUCUAAUACAGUCGGGGGAUGACGGUACCGGAAGAAUAAGCACCGGCUAACUACGUGCCAGCAGCCGCGGUAAUACGUAGGGUGCAAGCGUUAAUCGGAAUUACUGGGCGUAAAGCGUGCGCAGGCGGUUUGCUAAGACCGAUGUGAAAUCCCCGGGCUCAACCUGGGAACUGCAUUGGUGACUGGCAGGCUAGAGUAUGGCAGAGGGGGGUAGAAUUCCACGUGUAGCAGUGAAAUGCGUAGAGAUGUGGAGGAAUACCGAUGGCGAAGGCAGCCCCCUGGGCCAAUACUGACGCUCAUGCACGAAAGCGUGGGGAGCAAACAGGAUUAGAUACCCUGGUAGUCCACGCCCUAAACGAUGUCAACUAGUUGUUGGGGGAUUCAUUUCCUUAGUAACGUAGCUAACGCGUGAAGUUGACCGCCUGGGGAGUACGGUCGCAAGAUUAAACUCAAAGGAAUUGACGGGGUCAUAGCUGUUUCCU
RNAcentral lists this ribosomal RNA (585 nucleotides) under uncultured bacterium. RNAcentral's name for it is "partial 16S ribosomal RNA". It matches the Rfam family "Bacterial small subunit ribosomal RNA", at positions 355 to 1375 of the family's 1533-position model. The record is from RNAcentral.